This is a long non-coding RNA of Populus euphratica (Euphrates poplar), 2138 nucleotides long. RefSeq lists it as uncharacterized. The record is from RefSeq and is a predicted model, not a curated record. The transcript has 2 exons. Lineage: Eukaryota; Viridiplantae; Streptophyta; Magnoliopsida; Malpighiales; Salicaceae.
AGUGAAGAAGGACAAGGACAUAACAAUAGAAUUGAGAUAUUUGAAACUGGAUUUUGCACAUUUAAACCUAGGAAUCUGUAAGCUUAAAUUUGAAUGGACUGCAGUAUGAAAUUGUUCUAGGAGCUGAUAGAUUUUUUUCACACACACACACACACACACACAUAUAUCCUUGGAAGUUGCUUAGUGUGGAAAAGUAGGGAUGGGAAUUUCAUCGGGGGUGUUGUGAUUAGUUAUAUAUUAUUAUGUCAAGGUUAGUUCCCAACCUACACCACAAUAUGCGUGUGGUAUUGUGGUGUAGGUUGGGAACUAACCUAAUCUUCAGCCUCUUUUCCUCGGUUGCCUCUCCCCUUUGUCACAUCUUUCUUCUCCUUCUCAUAUCUUUUUCUAAUUCUUAUAUAAUCUUUACAAAAUGACAUUGUAUCAGAGCAUAACAGUCUAGAUAUAGUGAGUUCAAACUCAAAACUCUUCUAACAGCCUCAACAGUUCCCUUGCUGACUUCAGCUAUAUCAGCAUGACAUCAUCACACUUCUCAGGUUGUCGCCUAAGAAAUGCCUCGGCUUCAUGAUCAAAAUCCCCAAUGUUCAACUGUCAAUCAUUGUUCCCUUAACUGCCAAUUUGUCAAGUUAGGUGACAAACUUGGAAAAGUGACGAAUCUUGAAUCUUGAGAAUUAUAGGGCUGUUUGUUGUAGUAAUUAAGCAUGAUUGCAUGUGAUUGAGUUAGUAAGGUGCUAUGUGGUUUUUGGCUGGUUGGGCUCUUGUGGUGUUCAGUUAUUUGGGGUCAAAAUGGUUUGGAUGCCUCUCGAUGGAGGAUCUCCUCUUUAAAUAGUGAAGUACCAACAUAAUUACAUUCUAAAAUCACUCCUGGACCAUAAUUACAAUUGUCUAUAAAUCAAUCUCCCUAAAUUAAGUAAUUACAUAUCAAUUAAUCUCCCUAGAUCAAGCUCUCUAAAUCAAGUAAUUGCAUAUAAAUCAAUCAAGAUAUUAUAACUAACAUCCACCUCAAAUUGAUGUUGGUGGAUUACAAAGCAUCAAUUUGUAAAUCAUGAAUUAAUGUCAAUGACAAGAUAGAGCCUUGGUAAACAUAUAAGCUGUCUGGAACUUAGUGGAAAAAUAAAGGAGAGUAAUCAUAUGUUAGUCAAGUGCUUCAUGAAUAGAAUGAUAAUCUACUUCAAUGUGCUUGGUGUGCUUAUAAAAGAUUGCAUUAGCAGCAAUUUGAAUGGCAUUGGUGUUAUCAGCAUGAAGAGAAGGAGUCAGUUAAGGAAUCCCUAGUUCACUCAACAGACUCUGAAGCCAAACAAUCUCAGAGCAUGCAAAUGACAUAGCAUGAUAUUCAGACUCGAUUGAGGAUUUAGAAACUCUAUGCAUAGCUUGUUUCCAACAUGCUAAGUAGAAGUUCAAGAGUAAAACUUAAGUACAGUAUUAGUAUUAAAAGUAUCUUGAAGAGUUCUAUGAGAGAACAAAUACCUAUAUGGAGGAUGUGAAAUCCGAAUGACCGAAGAGGUUCAGCCAAGACAAGAUCAAGUGUUGGAGCUAGGUCAUGCAAUGGAACUGAUGGACGACGUCUCUAAUACACAAUUCUUGACUUAAAACAUUCAAUAUAACUUGACAUAUCAUCAAAAUUAGGAAGACCAAAAGAAAGACUAAAAGAAAUAUUGAUUUUCAAAGAAGACCACAGUUUGACAAAUACAAAGUUUAUUAGCAUCUGAAUCAUAAAACACAAACCCCUUAUAGACAUUUCUAUAUCCUAGAAAGGCACAUUGAACAGAUUGAGUAGCAAGCUUGUGUCGUUUAGUUGGUGGCAAGUGAAACAAACGCGACCAAAUAUAUGAAAAGAAUUAUACUCUGGAGCAACACCAAAUAAAUGGGAAUUCAAAGAAUCCAAUUUGAGAACUUGAAAGGGUAGCGAUUAAUCAAAUAAACAAUUGUAGAUAAUGCUUCAAAUCUAGUUGGUACAUAAGACUCGAUUAACAAUUUAUGAACAUCUAAAAGGUGACGAUUCUUACACCUUGUAACCUAUUCUAUUGAGAAGUGUAUGGACAAGAAUGUUAUGAGGGAAUACCCUUCAUUUGUAGAUAAGAUGGAAAGUCAUUGGACAUAUAUUUCCCCUAGAAUUAGAUCUUAGAGUCUUAAUACAAGUA